AACUUUCAAAGAUCCUUCUGUCUCGGCCUCCCAAGUUCUGAGAUUACAGGUAUUCAUCAUCACACCUGGACUUUCUCUUUAAAAACUCUCUUGGUGAAGACCUUUGAAGCACAACAAAUACAAGAUUUUAAUGAAGUCCAACUUUCCUCUUUCCCUUUUUGGUGUAUUAUCUGAGAAACUACAGUCAAACCCAAGGUCAAGAAGAAUUACUCUUGUGUUUUCUUUUAAAGUUUUUAAAAUUCUUUUAAAAUUUUUUUUAAGUUUUAACUCUUUGUGAAUAGUUAUAAAGCAAGAGUCUAAUUUCAAUCUUUGGGUAUCAAUAUGCAGCUGUCAUGGUAACUUCUGUUGAAAUUGUUCACCACAGUAAAUGGUCUUUGUAUUCUUCCAAAAACAACUGAUCAACAAUAUCAAGGUUUAUGCCAGGCCUCAUAAUCCUAUUACCUCAAAGUCUUCAUUACUAUAGCAUUGUAGUGAGUUGCAAAAUUAGGACAUAUAAACCUUCCAAUUUUGGUAUGUUUCAAGAUUAAGCUAACUAUUCUGUGUUCCUUAAAUUUCUAAGUAAGUAUAUCUGUAAAGAAACCAGCCAGGGGUCUCACAAUGAAAAAUGCUUUCAAUUUCGGAAUUGAAUAAACAAUGAGACACUAAGAUCUGCAAAAUAUUAUCUGUAGGUAAUUUUCUUUCAAUAGUUAAUGAAAAUGUUAGCAUUUUCUUCAUUUUUU
This 719-nucleotide long non-coding RNA is filed under the name Rattus norvegicus (Norway rat). Its description in RNAcentral is "long non-coding RNA NONRATT030962". The record is from RNAcentral. Lineage: Eukaryota; Metazoa; Chordata; Mammalia; Rodentia; Muridae.